This 253-nucleotide ribosomal RNA is filed under the name uncultured bacterium. Its description in RNAcentral is "partial 16S ribosomal RNA". It matches the Rfam family "Bacterial small subunit ribosomal RNA", at positions 524 to 776 of the family's 1533-position model. The record is from RNAcentral.
UACGUAGGGUGCAAGCGUUGUCCGGAAUUAUUGGGCGUAAAGAGCUCGUAGGCGGUCUGUCGCGUCUGCUGUGAAAAUCCAGGGCUCAACCCUGGACCUGCAGUGGGUACGGGCAGACUAGAGUGCGGUAGGGGAGAUCGGAAUUCCUGGUGUAGCGGUGAAAUGCGCAGAUAUCAGGAGGAACACCGGUGGCGAAGGCGGAUCUCUGGGCCUUACCUGACGCUCAGGUGCGAAAGCUAGGGGAGCGAGCAGG